GCUCUUAUGGCUCAGUGGUAGAGCGUGUCACUAGUAAUGACAAGGUCCUCGGUUCGAUCCCGAGUAAGAGCA
Molecule: non-coding RNA, 72 nt
Organism: Talaromyces marneffei PM1
Lineage: Eukaryota; Fungi; Ascomycota; Eurotiomycetes; Eurotiales; Trichocomaceae
Source: Rfam